CAGCCUCCUGAGUAGCUGGGACUACAGGUUUUAAAAAAUUUUUUUAGACAUGGGGUUUUGCUAUGUUGCCCAGGCUGCUCUUGAACUCCUGGCCUCAAGCAACCCUCCUGCCUUUGCCUUAACUAUACCUUUUUAAGUUUGAAUUACAUAUAUAACAUAUUAAAUUUAAGGAUAUUCUGUAAAUAAAAAGAAAAAAUAUUAAGAAAAGAUUCUAGGUUGUUAGUCACAUUGCUGAUUAGCCAAGCAGCAUCAGUCCUAGUUGUGUCAGGUAAGUACAUUUCCACCAUUGUUCAAAAACAAGUAAGGUUGUCCAUAUACCUCUUUCCGUCCCCAGCAAGUAUCUUAGGCCCAAAGUGAGAUGCAGCAACA
This 369-nucleotide microRNA precursor is filed under the name Homo sapiens (human). RNAcentral's name for it is "long non-coding RNA NONHSAT253526". Lineage: Eukaryota; Metazoa; Chordata; Mammalia; Primates; Hominidae. The record is from RNAcentral.